Molecule: small nucleolar RNA, 138 nt
Organism: Artibeus jamaicensis (Jamaican fruit-eating bat)
Lineage: Eukaryota; Metazoa; Chordata; Mammalia; Chiroptera; Phyllostomidae
Source: RefSeq, a predicted model, not a curated record
GCACUGCCUUGAGCCCCUGCUGCACCUGCGCGUGGCUGCGCACGGCGCCAGGGUCAGGUGCAGGCCCAGAGCACGUGCUUGCACAUAACUGGGGCCUAAUGCUCCCCACCCCGCCCCCUUUAACCCUUAGCCACAUGG